AGAGUUUGAUCAUGGCUCAGGACGAACGCUGGCGGCGCGCUUAACACAUGCAAGUCGAGCGAGAACCAGUCCUUCGGGACUGGGGACAGCGGCGAACGGGUGAGUAACACGUGGGUAAUCUGCCCUCGAUUCUGGGAUAGCCCGGGGAAACCCGGAUUAAUACCGGAUAGCCUCUCGAGCUUACGAGCUCGUGAGAAAAGGUAGCUUCGGCCUCCGAUCGAGGAUGAGCCCGCGGCGGAUUAGCUUGUUGGUGGGGUAAUGGCCUACCAAGGCGACGAUCCGUAGCUGGUCUGAGAGGACGAUCAGCCACACUGGGACUGAGACACGGCCCAGACUCCUACGGGAGGCAGCAGUGGGGAAUCUUGCGCAAUGGGCGAAAGCCUGACGCAGCGACGCCGCGUGGGGGAAGAAGGCCUUCGGGUUGUAAACCUCUUUCAGCAGGGACGAAGCCACUCGGGUUAACAGCCCAGAGGGUGACGGUACCUGCAGAAGAAGCCCCGGCUAACUACGUGCCAGCAGCGGCGGUAAUAC
This 531-nucleotide ribosomal RNA is filed under the name uncultured bacterium. RNAcentral's name for it is "bacterial SSU rRNA". It matches the Rfam family "Bacterial small subunit ribosomal RNA", at positions 8 to 526 of the family's 1533-position model. The record is from RNAcentral.